GAGCUUUGUUGCUUUCAAAUCUUAAGCAAUCUAGAAACACUUCGAAGAGUUUAUCGGAUAUAUAGGAUGUCAUCUAAGUUUUCUACCAUCUGGUUUAAGUGACAAUUUGUUCAUUAAACAGUAGACUAACGGGACAUCAUUUGAACUUACUGGCUGGUUUCAUUAAUUGUAAAAAUACACAUGACUGGUAUAAAAUGAAUACAAAAUAUUCAAAGAGGAUGAUGAAAUUAGCUCUUUGUAAAUAAGGGUAAAUUGGAAAUGCGUCUACAACAAAUCAAUAAAAAUAGCCAGCAAUUUCUUAAGGGCUGUUUCUUGAUAAGUGGCAUUCUGAUUUUAUUCUCCUCAAACUACCCCCAUUUUAAACUGAAAUAGUAAGUAUUUUAAAUGCUAAUGAGAUAAUUUGAAGUAUUUUAUGCAGAUAUUGGAUGAAAGGCUUAAAAAGAAGAGAGUGUUUUAUUUUCACUGUAUUAUUUUCACUUUCUUUUGAGAAAGCUAAUAGUAUGACGUGGGGGCACUCUUCCCUACCUGAAAUUCCAGCAUUAGUGGUUCAUUCCUAUGGUUUAGCCAACCUCUUUCCAGCUUUCCUUACUCAACACUCAAAGCCCCCCUAGAAACGCUAACUUAUUAAAAUAUAUACAUUAUAUUAAUAAUUCAGUUAAAUCAGCUAUAGGAUAAUCAAGGAAUAAGUUAUAGUAACUUUGGUAAGAAAGAGUAGGCAGUGGAGAUCAGUUUAGUCCAAAUAAUUACUGAGUACCUUCCAGACUCUCUACAGGGUGCUGAACCCUAGAGAUUCAAAAAUGAAUAAGCCAUGGCCCAUACCCUCAAGCUCAUCACAGAAAGUGUUCAAGGAGGGAAAAUGGCGCUGAUGCUAAAAGAAAAGGUGAAAGAAAUUGGAGAGGGCAGACUGCACUUACUUCACAAUUUCAUUUAACUAGCAUCGGUCCUACUCAACAGCUAUGCCAAAAAGAAUAUUAUUCGCUCUUAUAAUACUGAUACUGCUUCAGUUCUUACUAAAAACUAAAGAAUGUUUUUUUAAUUUAAAUAACAACUUUGAAAUCUGAAGUGGUACACUUUUUUUUUUAAUCCACUUAUUGAAAGGUUAAACAACAUAAGGCAUCCUAUCUUUAGUGGCUUUAAUAUAUUUGAUAGAAUAGCCCCCAAAUAUCAAAAGGUAAUUUUUGCCACCUUUGAAAGCCUUGGCAACUGAUUAAGAAUAAAUUUAAAGUUGUUCUCAAAAUACUUACUUAAAAAAAAAACCACACAGACUAAUUGAUCUAUAAGAAUACAUCCAAAAUAAGACUUAAGAACAACAAUGUCAUAGCAGACCCUUUCUUUUUCUAUUAGUAGUACACUAAGCAUCAUUCUGUCAUGCUCCGUUAUACUUGCAAGCAAAUGGCCAUCAAAUGAAAAAUAAAUUUUAGAAUAUCUUAUGAAAGGUCUGAGAUCAUUAACUCAAAGUAUGUGACAGAGCAACUAAGUUAAAUAAAUAAAUUUUCAUUUCAUUAUUAGAAAUGAGGUACAUUUUUAUGAUUAAUUUCUUUGCACAACUGAAUUGAUGUGAGAAAGGUAUCUUUAGAAAGGUUCUUUUAAGGUAGGCAAGCUACGUCAAUUCUCUCCCUAAGUUCAAAAUUCCCUUUAACUGUAAUUUAUUAUUUAAUAAAUGAAAGGAGUACUCUCAAUUUUAUACCAAAUCUAUCAGUUUUAAGCAUCUUAAUCAAGUAGGUCCUUUACAAAAGGGCUGACUGCGCCCCAUGAAGGGUUAAUGGUUUUUGAUUGUUGGCCACAUUCCCAUGGUAAACUUGAACAUUCCUUUCUGAAAACCUUACCCAGUGAGCUCUACCUAUUUACACAACAGCUGGGGGCACACCACCUGCACUACAGCCCAUAAACUUCGUGGUGUGAUACACAGCCGACCUGCUUAUGGAUGAGAUAAGAGCAUACCAAUAUUCAGAGUUAUAAAAAUACAACUGUAAGAAAGUGUUUUGAUGUCCUCUUCACUUUCGUAUGUUUUCCCCACGAGGAACCAGUACAGAAUCUCUUCACUUUUGUAUGUUUUAUCCACGAGGAACAAGUACAGAAUCUUAUGCUAAAAUCUACCGUCUCUCAACCCUUGUUUUCACAAGGUGAGGGGCCAGCUGGAAGGCGG
Non-coding RNA from Kogia breviceps (pygmy sperm whale), 2146 nucleotides. The record is from RefSeq and is a predicted model, not a curated record. NCBI's taxonomy places the organism in Eukaryota, Metazoa, Chordata, Mammalia, Artiodactyla, Physeteridae.